GACUUUCCAAAUCCAGAGCAACGCCAGUGGCAACGUAGUGACUCAGGCGGGCACCAAGGAAACCGCACCAUUGGUCUCUGGAGCUGACCUCUCCCUGACAGAGAACCAUCUCUUUUUAUAUUACGCCGCUUUCAGUCCAACGUUCUCACACUGGAAGAAGAGAGUUUCUAAUCAGAUGCAACUGCCCAAAUUCUUGAUCUGCAGCUUCUCUGAAGUUUGGAAAAGAAACCUUCCUUUCUGGAGUUUGCAGAGUUCAGCAAUAUGAUAGGGAACAGGUGCUGAUGGGCCCAAGAGUGACAAGCGUACACAUCUACUUUUUAUCUGUAGAAGUUUUGCUUUGUUGAUCGGAGCCUUCUAUGAAAGUUUAAAUAUGUAACACAUUCAUGAAUUUCCAGUUUAGCCUUCUGAGCAGGACAUGAAUUUGUCACAUUUCAUUGCAUGGUAACAUGGACUUGGGAGUUAGAGAAAGUUCAAUAAAUAGCAGCUAUGUGUGUGCAAAAUAAAAGAAUGAUUUCAG
Molecule: small RNA, 517 nt
Filed under: Pongo abelii (Sumatran orangutan)
Lineage: Eukaryota; Metazoa; Chordata; Mammalia; Primates; Hominidae
Description: processed transcript
Source: RNAcentral